GAAGUCGUGGCCGAGUAGUUAAGGCGGCGGACUAGAAAUCCAUUGGGGUCUCGCCGCAGAGGUUCGAAUCCUGUCGACUGCG
Non-coding RNA from Ixodes scapularis (black-legged tick), 82 nucleotides. The record is from Rfam. NCBI's taxonomy places the organism in Eukaryota, Metazoa, Arthropoda, Arachnida, Ixodida, Ixodidae.